UACGGGGGGGGCAAGCGUUGUUCGGAAUUACUGGGCGUAAAGGGCUCGUAGGCGGCCAACUAAGUCAGACGUGAAAUCCCUCGGCUUAACCGGGGAACUGCGUCUGAUACUGGAUGGCUUGAGUGUGGGAGAGGGAUGCGGAAUUCCAGGUGUAGCGGUGAAAUGCGUAGAUAUCUGGAGGAACACCGGUGGCGAAGGCGGCAUCCUGGACCAACACUGACGCUGAGUGAGCGAAAGCGUGGGGAGCGAACAGG
Molecule: ribosomal RNA, 254 nt
Filed under: uncultured bacterium
Lineage: Bacteria
Description: partial 16S ribosomal RNA
Rfam family: Bacterial small subunit ribosomal RNA
Source: RNAcentral